UCAAGAAAGAUGUAUUUUUUAUAAGUAUUUAUGUUCAUUGAAGUCAAGAAAUGGUGACUAUAACGUGAGUUGUGACAAACC
Long non-coding RNA from Thalassophryne amazonica, 81 nucleotides. RefSeq lists it as uncharacterized. NCBI's taxonomy places the organism in Eukaryota, Metazoa, Chordata, Actinopteri, Batrachoidiformes, Batrachoididae. The transcript is spliced from 3 exons. The record is from RefSeq and is a predicted model, not a curated record.